This 906-nucleotide ribosomal RNA is filed under the name Klebsiella pneumoniae. RNAcentral's name for it is "bacterial SSU rRNA". It matches the Rfam family "Bacterial small subunit ribosomal RNA", at positions 622 to 1528 of the family's 1533-position model. The record is from RNAcentral. Lineage: Bacteria; Pseudomonadati; Pseudomonadota; Gammaproteobacteria; Enterobacterales; Enterobacteriaceae.
UGCAUUCGAAACUGGCAGGCUAGAGUCUUGUAGAGGGGGGUAGAAUUCCAGGUGUAGCGGUGAAAUGCGUAGAGAUCUGGAGGAAUACCGGUGGCGAAGGCGGCCCCCUGGACAAAGACUGACGCUCAGGUGCGAAAGCGUGGGGAGCAAACAGGAUUAGAUACCCUGGUAGUCCACGCCGUAAACGAUGUCGAUUUGGAGGUUGUGCCCUUGAGGCGUGGCUUCCGGAGCUAACGCGUUAAAUCGACCGCCUGGGGAGUACGGCCGCAAGGUUAAAACUCAAAUGAAUUGACGGGGGCCCGCACAAGCGGUGGAGCAUGUGGUUUAAUUCGAUGCAACGCGAAGAACCUUACCUGGUCUUGACAUCCACAGAACUUUCCAGAGAUGGAUUGGUGCCUUCGGGAACUGUGAGACAGGUGCUGCAUGGCUGUCGUCAGCUCGUGUUGUGAAAUGUUGGGUUAAGUCCCGCAACGAGCGCAACCCUUAUCCUUUGUUGCCAGCGGUUAGGCCGGGAACUCAAAGGAGACUGCCAGUGAUAAACUGGAGGAAGGUGGGGAUGACGUCAAGUCAUCAUGGCCCUUACGACCAGGGCUACACACGUGCUACAAUGGCAUAUACAAAGAGAAGCGACCUCGCGAGAGCAAGCGGACCUCAUAAAGUAUGUCGUAGUCCGGAUUGGAGUCUGCAACUCGACUCCAUGAAGUCGGAAUCGCUAGUAAUCGUAGAUCAGAAUGCUACGGUGAAUACGUUCCCGGGCCUUGUACACACCGCCCGUCACACCAUGGGAGUGGGUUGCAAAAGAAGUAGGUAGCUUAACCUUCGGGAGGGCGCUUACCACUUUGUGAUUCAUGACUGGGGUGAAGUCGUAACAAGGUAACCGUAGGGGAACCUGCGGUUGGAUCACCU